RNAcentral lists this ribosomal RNA (240 nucleotides) under uncultured bacterium. RNAcentral describes it as "partial 16S ribosomal RNA". It matches the Rfam family "Bacterial small subunit ribosomal RNA", at positions 524 to 766 of the family's 1533-position model. The record is from RNAcentral.
UACGAAGGGGCUAGCGUUGCUCGGAAUCACUGGGCGUAAAGGGUGCGUAGGCGGGUUUUUAAGUCAGGGUGAAAUCCUGGAGCUCAACUCCAGAACUGCCUUUGAUACUGAAGAUCUUGAGUCCGGAGAGGUGAGUGGAACUGCGAGUGUAGAGGUGAAAUUCGUAGAUAUUCGCAAGAACACCAGUGGCGAAGGCGGCUCACUGGCCCGGUACUGACGCUGAGGCACGAAAGCGAUGGG